This 245-nucleotide ribosomal RNA is filed under the name uncultured bacterium. RNAcentral's name for it is "partial small subunit ribosomal RNA". It matches the Rfam family "Bacterial small subunit ribosomal RNA", at positions 26 to 285 of the family's 1533-position model. The record is from RNAcentral.
AGAAUCAACGCUGGCGGCGUGCCUAACACAUGCAAGCCGCUACGAGAAAGGGAGCAAUCCCUGAGUAAAGUGGCGCACGGGUGAGUAACACGUGAAUGAUCUACCUCCGAGUGGGGAAUAACUGAGAGAAAUCUUAGCUAAUACCGCAUAACACUUACGAGUCAAAGCAGCAAUGCGCUUGGAGAGGAGUUCGCGGCCGAUUAGUUAGUUGGCGGGGUAAUGGCCCACCAAGACGAUGAUCGGUA